AUUGAACGCUGGCGGCAGGCCUAACACAUGCAAGUCGAACGAGUGGCGGACGGGUGAGUAAUGUCUGGGAAACUGCCUGAUGGAGGGGGAUAACUACUGGAAACGGUAGCUAAUACCGCAUACCAUCGGAUGUGCCCAGAUGGGAUUAGCUAGUAGGUGGGGUAAAGGCUCACCUAGGCGACGAUCCCUAGCUGGUCUGAGAGGAUGACGAGCCACACUGGAACUGAGACACGGUCCAGACUCCUACGGGAGGCAGCAGUGGGGAAUAUUGCACAAUGGGCGCAAGCCUGAAGCAGCCAUGCCGCGUGUAUGAAAAAGGCCUUCGGGUUGGAAGGUACUUUUGGCGGGAAGGCGUUACCAGCAGAGGAAGCACCUGCUAACUCCAUGCCAGCCGCCGCGGUAAUUC
This 406-nucleotide ribosomal RNA is filed under the name uncultured bacterium. Its description in RNAcentral is "partial 16S ribosomal RNA". It matches the Rfam family "Bacterial small subunit ribosomal RNA", at positions 30 to 526 of the family's 1533-position model. The record is from RNAcentral.